GGGCGCAGCCCUGGAUCAGCCAUGCCGCGUGGUGUGAAGAAGGCCUUCGGGGUUGUAAAGCACUUUCAGUUCGGUGAGGAAAGGGUGUGAGAUUAAUACCUCAUAUUCUUGUGACGUUACGACAGAAGAAGCACCGGCUAACUCCGUGCCAGCAGCCGCGGUAAUACGAA
This 170-nucleotide ribosomal RNA is filed under the name uncultured marine bacterium. Its description in RNAcentral is "partial 16S ribosomal RNA". It matches the Rfam family "Bacterial small subunit ribosomal RNA", at positions 373 to 529 of the family's 1533-position model. The record is from RNAcentral.